This 74-nucleotide transfer RNA is filed under the name Bacteroidales bacterium. RNAcentral's name for it is "tRNA-Arg". It matches the Rfam family "tRNA". From Rfam's summary of the family: Transfer RNA (tRNA) molecules are approximately 80 nucleotides in length. Their secondary structure includes four short double-helical elements and three loops (D, anti-codon, and T loops). Lineage: Bacteria; Pseudomonadati; Bacteroidota; Bacteroidia; Bacteroidales. The record is from RNAcentral.
GGCCUAGUAGCUCAGUUGGAUAGAGCAUCAGACUUCGGAUCUGAGGGUCGGGGGUUCGAAUCCUCCCUGGGUCA